CCCUUAGAUGUUCUGGGCUGCACGCGUGUUACAAUCGGGAGUACAACAAGAUUGCAAAUCCUAGUGGAUGAGUGGUUCUUCGAAAUUUUCUGAAGACUGGGAUAGUUGAUUGAAAUUAUUCAACUCAAACGAGGAAUUCCUUGUAAUUGUAAUUCAUUAUAUUGUAAUGAAUACGUCCCUGCCCUUUGUACACACCGCCCGUCGCUCCUACCGAUUGAACGAUCCGGUGAAUUAUUUGGAGUAGCUCUGGAAGUUGCAGAACUUCCUAUGUCACGAAAUUUUGCAAACCUUAUCGUUUAGAGGAAGGAAAAGUCGUAACA
Molecule: ribosomal RNA, 320 nt
Filed under: uncultured eukaryote
Lineage: Eukaryota
Description: partial 18S ribosomal RNA
Rfam family: Eukaryotic small subunit ribosomal RNA
Source: RNAcentral